GGCUUGUUUCACAAAGGCCUGCAGGUGAUCACCCACUCUUGGGCCUCCCCACUUGGGGGCCCCCUACCGCAGCCCCAGAGAGAGGAAGAUCUUAGGCCACACUGCUGGCUUACAGAGAGGGGAGCAGGACCCCCAAAUGUAGAAGCUACAAGCAAUAAUGGAUGCCCCUGCCUUCCAGAAGAGCAGGCCUCCAACACCAGAGUUUCAGAUAUUCUGCUAGUCUAAGACCUCAAAGAAAUCUUCACUGCAGUGAAAGCAGGCACCAUGCCAUCUUACCAUGAUGAGCCUGACAUGAGAAUUAGAAAUCUUGAUGUAAACAUAUGGGCACACUUGGCUAGGAUUGAAUGAACCAAACCACACAACCCCAAGUCAGAGCUAGAUGGUGAGAACGCUGUGGUAAAUUCAUGAAAUAGGACUGUGUGCACAUCUGUCACCGCACGGUUGCAGCAAGGAAAUACUCGACUCAACUUCCUAACGGUGUUAUCGUGGGGUAACCUCAAAGCCUUUUCAUCAGCACCAGUGAGCACCAGUGGCUCACGCCUGUCAUCCUUGCUACUCAAGAGGCUG
Dipodomys ordii (Ord's kangaroo rat) is the source of this 567-nucleotide long non-coding RNA. RefSeq lists it as uncharacterized. NCBI's taxonomy places the organism in Eukaryota, Metazoa, Chordata, Mammalia, Rodentia, Heteromyidae. The record is from RefSeq and is a predicted model, not a curated record. The transcript is spliced from 3 exons.